CCUACGGGUGGCAGCAGUGGGGAAUAUUGCACAAUGGGGGAAACCCUGAUGCAGCGACGCCGCGUGAGUGAAGCAGUAUUUCGGUAUGUAAAGCUCUAUCAGCAGGGAAGAAAUAGCGACCUUUGGGUCGCCAGACGGUACCUGACUAAGAAGCCCCGGCUAACUACGUGCCAGCAGCCGCGGUAAUACGUAGGGGGCAAGCGUUAUCCGGAUUUACUGGGUGUAAAGGGAGCGUAGACGGCAGCACAAGUCUGAAGUGAAAUGCCGGGGCUUAACCCCGGAACUGCUUUGGAACCUGUGCAGUGAGAGUGCAGGAGAGGUAAGUGGAAUUCCUAGUGUAGCGGGGAAAUGCGUAGAUAGUAGGAGGAACACCAGUGGCGAAGGCGGCUUACUGGACUGUAACUGACGUUGAGGCUCGAAAGCGUGGGGAGCAAACAGGAUUAGAUACCCGUGUAGUC
Molecule: ribosomal RNA, 458 nt
Filed under: uncultured bacterium
Lineage: Bacteria
Description: partial 16S ribosomal RNA
Rfam family: Bacterial small subunit ribosomal RNA
Source: RNAcentral